RNAcentral lists this unclassified non-coding RNA (1306 nucleotides) under Ooceraea biroi (clonal raider ant). RNAcentral describes it as "uncharacterized LOC105285764, transcript variant X1". The record is from RNAcentral. Lineage: Eukaryota; Metazoa; Arthropoda; Insecta; Hymenoptera; Formicidae.
CUCCCUCCGUCACUCUAAAAAUGGCAUUUGCAGGCGCACGUUGUUUAAAGCUCCAUCGAAUUCUGUUUAUAACUGUGGGAUUAUGGCCAUAUCAGAAACCAUUUAUUUGGCAAAUACAAGCAGUAUUCUUUUUCAGUGCAUAUUGCUCCAUGGUAUUUUCUCAGUUUACGCCGUUCUUAACGACAACUUGCAACAUGGAAUGUAUCUUAAAAAGAUUUUCUUAUAUUUGUAUUACUUUCGUUUUUAUUUUAAUUUACUACUCAUUCUACUUCAAUUCUGAAGCUGUAAAGCAAGUGUUUCAACAUAUACAGCGUGACUGGAAAAUGUGUAAAAAUAGGUACGCAAUGAAAAUAUUUGAAGAAUAUCUCUCUGAAUCUUAUAGUUUCGCAUUAUUUCUGUGCUUUCUUUGUUUAAUGGGUGCAUCUUUUAUUACGCUUAUGGAAAGUACACCUAUCAUCCUUGAUGUUGUCGCACCAAUGAAUAAAUCUCGACCACGAAAACUUGAAGUAGAUAUUGAAUUCUUCAUCUUCAAUGAAGAACAAUAUUUCUUUUUUUUAUUACUGCUUGAGGGAGCAGCAGCAGGAUUCGGAGUUUGGUCGCUACUUGCGAUUUUCACGUUCUUCACUACAGUAAUGAAACAUUCAUGUGCAACAUAUAAAAUUGUUAGUUAUUUAAUUCGAGAUACGGUACCUAUCCAUACGCUACAACUUCCUGUUGUUCAAAGAAUACAAUAUAUGCAUCGGAAUAUUUGUCUUUCAAUUUACAUUCAUAGGAGAACCUUAGAGUUCUGCAAAGGCUUGUUACUUUCGUUUGAUAUGUGGUAUUUCCCAUUACUCUUAGUUUGCGUCUUGUCCUUAAGUUGCAUUCUAUUUCGCCUAUACAAUGCCAUAAUGCAGUUCAAGGACUUGCAUGAUAUUGUUUGGUCCUGCGGACUUUUGUUUUGUUACUUGGCAUACAUGUUUAUGUCAAAUUUGUUUGCUCAGUCUUACACUGACCACAGUGUAGAAGUAUUAGGAUCUACGAAGCCACCCGGUGCAGCGUAAAGCCGGUAUCCAGUUGAGGGUCAGCUGAGCGGCGACGCGAGUUAAAAAGAAGACGCGAAUCUCCACGCGACGAACCCCUUGGCGACGUAAACAAUAAAUAACCAGAGAGGUGGAGACAAGACUUUGUUAUGACUCCGAUAAGAUGUGUAUUCUUGAGUUGCGCUGAGCUGUACCGUUUCUAACUGAAGUUCAAUAUUUCGGAAGUCACGAGUCUCGCGCGAACGCGUCCCGCGAGUGUGCGAGAGCAUAUGACACUCUUUGGU